Molecule: ribosomal RNA, 492 nt
Filed under: uncultured bacterium
Lineage: Bacteria
Description: partial 16S ribosomal RNA
Rfam family: Bacterial small subunit ribosomal RNA
Source: RNAcentral
AGUGAACGCUGGCGGUAGGCCUAACACAUGCAAGUCGAACGGCAGCACAGUAAGAGCUUGCUCUUACGGGUGGCGAGUGGCGGACGGGUGAGGAAUACAUCGGAAUCUACUUUUUCGUGGGGGAUAACGUAGGGAAACUUACGCUAAUACCGCAUACGACCUACGGGUGAAAGCAGGGGAUCUUCGGACCUUGCGCGAUUGAAUGAGCCGAUGUCGGAUUAGCUAGUUGGCGGGGUAAAGGCCCGCCAAGGCGACGAUCCGUAGCUGGUCUGAGAGGAUGAUCAGCCACACUGGAACUGAGACACGGUCCAGACUCCUACGGGAGGCAGCAGUGGGGAAUAUUGGACAAUGGGCGCAAGCCUGAUCCAGCCAUACCGCGUGGGUGAAGAAGGCCUUCGGGUUGUAAAGCCCCUUUGUUGGGAAAGAAAAGCAGCAGGUUAAUACCCCGCUGUUCUGACGGUACCCAAAGAAUAAGCACCGGCUAACUUCGUG